CUGCUCUGUUGGUCCUUGCGGUUAGAGGUGGGGAUGGACACUCGCAUCAUGGGUGAAAACUUAUGGCGGCACCGACACUCCAUGCACGCUGGUGAGAGAGAGGAGCGAAGAAACGCGGAGAGUUCGUGCUCAGAUGCUACUGAAGGAUCUACUUGAAGGAAGUUCAAGGCCGUGGUACCGGUUGGAAAUAGAAAAGAUGCUAAGACAUCCAGGUCAAGGUCAGUGGCACUGUGUUUGCCUCUGCGUUUCAGCAGGGAAGAGUAAAGUCGGGCAGAGCAAUGGUGAUAGGAGACUGGGGGACAGGCAGGAGAUUCUGUGGCUGUGAAAGAGACAUUGGGAUGGUGUGUUGCCUUCCAGGUGCCGGCGUCGAGGAUCUCCCAGAGUGGCUGCAGGACAUUCUCAAGGGGUAAGGUGAGAACGGUGGUAUACUUGGCACCAGUGCCAUAAUAGAAAGGGGGAAGAGGUCCUGCACAGUUAUUGUAGGGAGUAUAACGAAGCUGAAGGGCAGGACUUCAUAGGUAAUAAUCUCUGGGCAGGAAUAGAAAGGUGGAAUAGAUGAUUGAGUGGCUGGGGAACUGAUGCAGAGAGCAGGGUUUCAUGUUCCUGAAACACUGGAAAUUCUUCUGGAUUGAGAUGACCAGUGAUGGGUUGCACUUUCACUGGUGGGGAAUUGUUAACCUGGUCGGGAGGCUCUUUAGUGCAACUUGGAGGGUUUUAAACUAGUUUGGCAUGGGGAUAGGGACCAAAGCACCAGGUCAGAAAGUGGAGGGAUUGAGAGGAAGGUGGAUAUCAUGACCAGGAAGGACAUGCAGGAGAAUUUUAAAAUACAAUGGGAUGAUGGGUUGAAGUGGGUGCAUUUUAAAGCUAGGAAUAAGGGUCAUGAAUGUAAAGCGUGGAUCAGUACAUGGCACUACAAUUUAGUGGCAUAACAGAGACUUGAUUGAGAGAGGGACAGCAAUGGAUGCUUAAGGUUCCAUGAUUCAGUGUCUUAGAAAUGAUAGAGGAGGUAAAGAGGGUUGGGGGAGAGAUAUGCUAUUAAUCAGGGAGAGUAUCACAGCUGCAGUCAGAGGGGACAUAAGGAGGGGCUCAUUCACUGAGUAAAGAACUCUUAAAAAAAGUAAAGAAAGGUGCAAUCACUAUAAUAGGCUCAUGGAGGAUAAGUGAUCAGUGUGGAGUGUGCUAAUUUUCUAAGGAAUUUCAAGAUAAAGAAAGUGGUUGUGUUGGGCCUUGCCCAAUAUCUUUUGUGUCCUCUUUAGCUGCAGAUCCUUUCAAUAGCCACGGGGGCAUUGAAGAGCAGUGAUGCAGCUGAUCAAGAAAAGGUAUAAAAACAACAGGGGUUUUUGUAGUGGAUGGCUUCAACUUCCCUAAUAUAGACUGGAACCUCAUUAGUGUGAGAGGUUUAGAUGGGGUAGAAUUUGUUAGGUACAUUCAGGAGGGUUUCUUAAAUCAAAAUGUAGAUACUGUAACAAGAUGAGGGACCAUACUGGACCUAGUUUAGGGUAAUGAGCCUGGCUGGGUGUCUAACCUUUCAGUGGGAGAAUGGUUAGGAAACAGUGAUCACAACUCUGUAAGUUUUAAGAUAACUAUGGAUAAGUAUGGAACAUGUUAGGGAAUAUUAUAUUGGACAUAAACAAGAAUAUUAUACAGGGGCUAAGUGGGAAUGGUUAUUUUUGGAUUAGUUUACAUCUGACAUAUGGAGUGUGGUUUAAAGACAAACUGCACAGGGUACAGGACAGGUAUAUUCCUGUAUGAAGAAAGGACAAGUAUGACAAGGCAAGGGAACUUUGUGGUGAAUUUGGUGAAGAUGAAAAAGGAAAUGCAUGUAAAGUUUAAGAAUCUAAAAUCAAAUGGAGCCUCUUGAGGAUUAUAAAGAAACCAGAAAAGAACUCAAGAAGAGAAUUCAGUGAGCCCAGAGGAGUCAUAAAAAGUCGUUGGCAAGUAAUAUUAAAGGGGAUCCAAAGGCACUUCAUACAUACAUGAAGAUCAAGGUGAUAACUGGGGCAGGGAAGGACCACUCAGGGAUAAGGGUGGAAAUAAUGUACUUUGAGGCAGAGAAUGUGGAUGAGGUCCUAAAUGAGUACUUUGGAUCAGUAUUUACCAAGGAGAGGGAAGUGGUGGAUAGGUGAUCAAUGUGGAGUGUGCUAAUUUUCUAAGGAAUUUCAAGAUAAAGUGGUUGUAUUGGGCCUUGACUAAUAUCUUUUUUGUCCCCUAUUGCUGCAGGUGAGGUCCCAGAGGACUGGCAAUUAACAUUGUUCCAUUAUUCGGGAAGGAAAAUAGGAAUAUUCCUGGAAACGAGAGGUACAGAUGACGUUUCAGGCUGAGACCCUUUGUUGGGACUACCAGUUAGUCCUGACGAAGGAUCUCGGCCCAAAACGUCGACUGUACCUCUUCCUAUAGAAGCUACGUGGCCUGCUGCGUUCACUAGCAUUUUUUGUGUGUGUUGCUUGAAUUUCCAGCAUCUGCAGAUUUCCUGGUGUUUGCCUGGAAACAAGAGACUGGGUAUUUAUAAAAAUCACGAAGAGUAGGGGUCCCAGAACGGAUCCCUGAGGCACAUCAUUGGUCACCAACCUCCAUACGGAAUAUGACACAUCGAGAGAUUCCUGGUGGUGGCUGAUGGAGUAAAAGCAAUCUGCAGUUGCUCCAACUCUAAUUAUCUUACUAUUUCCAACCUGUCUUGAAACUUUUUUUUAAGUGUGAUAUUCUUUCAAUAUGACUGGAAGGAGUGCUGGAGGUACUAAAAAGAACAAUCACCCUGCUUCUUUGGAUUCUAUUUUGGAUUUGCUGCAAAGUCAUACACGAGAAGCCUCUGAGAAGUUUCAACAAUUCAGCUCUGAGUUCAAACAAAUAGAUGGUAAAUUAGAUUCUGUUCAACAAACUCUUAAUGAACACGAUAAACAUAUAAAAAAUAACGAAGCAAUUUUGUCAUCUCUGGAAAUGGAAUGGAAGUGGAUGAAUUGCAAAAGCUUUGUGAAAAGCAAUCGAAGUCCAACGAAAAGUUAAGACAGUAUAUUAAACAAGAGGAAAUAGUAAGGGCUAUAUCCUCUUUUCAAUCAGGUAAGGCUCCGGGACCGGAUAGAUAUACAGUGGAAUUUUUUAAGACUUUUGCUGAAAUACUUACAC
This is a long non-coding RNA of Mobula hypostoma (lesser devil ray), 3120 nucleotides long. RefSeq lists it as uncharacterized. The record is from RefSeq and is a predicted model, not a curated record. Lineage: Eukaryota; Metazoa; Chordata; Chondrichthyes; Myliobatiformes; Myliobatidae. The transcript has 3 exons.